Molecule: long non-coding RNA, 2419 nt
Organism: Oryctolagus cuniculus (rabbit)
Lineage: Eukaryota; Metazoa; Chordata; Mammalia; Lagomorpha; Leporidae
Source: Ensembl
GCCGUGAUUCCCCCGCUGCCACAACGUGUCGUAGGUGAUGUUGUCAGGAUGCCCAUGGGAUGGGAGGGGACCCAGCCCAGCUGUGUGCAAUGAGCCUCAUCUCUGCCUGGCCACAAAGCAGCCUGCCCGCACCUUGAGCCAGCCCUCGGCUCCUGGGACGAGGCUUUGGGCUCAGCCGAUCGCCCGGUGAAGGUGCAGGGAGCAGAGUGCCCGGGGCCACCCACAGGGGCCCAGGUUUAAGGCGUGCUCUCCGGGGCUGGAGUCCUGGGGGACUCGAAGUUGCUGGAUGCUGACCUCCAGGGACUGUCCUCCCAAAGUCUUCUAACCCCCAAAAUACUCCCUCGCCACACGCCUUCCCCAAGCACAUCUCACGUUUUAACAAAGCCAAGCUCGGAUUUAAACAAAAAAGUUCAAGAACUUGGAACUGGCUGAUCUGAAAUUAUUCGUGCUGGGCUGAAAGUCAGCUUCAUCCGUCAACCCCUUUUCAUCUAUCCUGCGGCAAUUGAAUUUUAUAAACAGUGUUCGGGAGUAAGUGUCAAAAUGCAUGAGAGAGCACCUUGCUUCAACACACCCCAACCACUCGCUCACAAAGAGUCAUUACCAGAGAUAAGUCCCUGCUAAGCAUUCGGUAACUGGACUCCCUCAGGGCCCGCGAAGGCGACAUCGGAAUCUGAGUUUUGGUGGGUCACUCUCUCAGGCAGCCUGACACUGCCCUGGUGGGUCUCAGCUGUCCCUAACGAAUGUCAUCUCGGUGCAGCUGGAUUUGAAACAGAAAGGAGCCUGUGCCUGACCGGCAUCCGCAGCCGAACCUUGCAGCGCUGGCUAUGCGUGCCCAGCGAGAAGGCGGCGGCCAUGUGCUGCUCUUCUUGGAAGUGAAGACCCCAAACGUGGGCAGUUGCCCAUCAAGCACUUACUCUGUGCCCCACGCCCACGCUCUGCUCCCUACAGGUGUGAACCCAGCUGGGGAUGGAGGCUGGCACUCAGGAGCCCAAGGUCACGGCACUGAGUCCAAGCCAAACAGACGAUCUCAGCCGGCCAGAGGUUGACCUGAGUACACCGGGGCUCGGAAGGCUGUCAGCCACCUCCGGGAGUUUACAACUGUCCAGGAGUGCCUCGCCCUCCACACCUCCUGCGCCGUCUGCAAAACCCGGCUCAACAGCCUCCCAGGGGCCUCCUCUGGGGCUCGGGCCCCUGUCUUCGGCUGCAGCACCCUCACGGCUGCCAUUCGCCCACACACUGCUCACCUCUGCCAUGAGGCUCCCAUUCCCAUCAUCCCAUGCAGCCCCUCUCUCUGCACAGGUGGUCCAGGCACUGCCUGGGCACCCAUGCCAAACCUAUACCUCUGGGAGUCCCCAGCACCUCGCCAGGAUGCAGGCACACCUGCAGCUCCCAGGAGAGCCUUGUUCCAUGAAUGAGUGAAAGGAUGAACGCGUGAACGUACUCCUGUGUGCUUCCUCUCUGUGGAAACUUCCAGGCUUUCAGAAACUAAGUAGGAAAUCAGACUAUGACAUUUUUGCUCAGGACACAACCUGCAUCGGGGCUUUUGCAGCCCUACUGAAUGUGGACAUAAUUCUUCUUAAAGAUUCAUUUACUUAUUUGAAAGAGAAUGGAGUUGUGGGGGGGGCAGGAAAGAGACAGAGAGAGAGAGAGAUUUUGUAUCUGCUGGUUCACUCCCCAGGUGCCUGCAAUGGCCAGAGCUGAGCCAGGCUGAAGUCAGGAGCCUCAUCUGGGUCUCCCACAUGGGAGCCGGGGCCCCAAACACUCGGGCCAUCCUCUGCUGCUUUUCCCAGGCCACCAGCAGGGAGCUGGAUGAAAAGUGCAACAGCCGGGACUCAAACCAGCACCCGUAUGGGAUGCUGGCAUUGCAGAUGGUGGCUUAACCCACUACAAAAACAGCGCCAGUCCCAGAGUGUGGGCAUAAUUCCGAAAGGGGGGUUUCACCAUGCACGUGCAGAGGCUCGCCCAUCUCCCAGAAUGCACAGCGCCCCCACGGGGAACACAAAAGCCUGCAGUGCCUGGCAGCCCCGUCUGCACUUUCUCAGCCUCCCUGACCUCCCGGGCACCAGGCCUGCGCUCACUCCCUGUUCCACCUGCCACCCCGUCCUCCGUCUCCCAUCGUCCUCUCCAGGGCGACAGCGUUUCUGACGCUCAACUUCCAAGCUCAACUUCCAGAAACAGAACACGCAGCCUCACCCAGGACCCAGCAGCAGGGUGAAGGGCUGUGUUCUCCAGGGGGCCUCCGCCCAGACCCCCGAGCGCACCCUUGCUGCGUAGCCUGUAGACGCACACGAUGGCGGGCAGAGAGGCAAGGCUUCCUCACCCCUUCUUGCACGUCUGCCUUCGUGUGCCAGACCCCAGCGGCCAGCGGAACUUGAUCCCUCUCUGACUCCCAAUACUGCUUCCUCAGCCUCCCCGGACA